ACUGCUGAUUUAGCCACAGUAACAUUUGGCUUUUUUACUUCUUUGUUAACUGCUAGAAAUCAGCUAAAACAAUUUCAUAAUUUUAGGAACCAUUGAAAGAAUUAUCAAUUUUUUUUAGUGGGCCGUAUUUAUGAAAACACUU
This is a non-coding RNA of Plasmodium malariae, 142 nucleotides long. NCBI's taxonomy places the organism in Eukaryota, Apicomplexa, Aconoidasida, Haemosporida, Plasmodiidae. The record is from Rfam.